This 801-nucleotide ribosomal RNA is filed under the name uncultured Campylobacterota bacterium. Its description in RNAcentral is "bacterial SSU rRNA". It matches the Rfam family "Bacterial small subunit ribosomal RNA", at positions 584 to 1386 of the family's 1533-position model. Lineage: Bacteria; Pseudomonadati; Campylobacterota. The record is from RNAcentral.
UAAGUUGGAUGUGAAAGCCUAUGGCUCAACCAUAGAACUGCAUCCAAAACUAUUGGGCUAGAGUGUGGGAGAGGAAGAUGGAAUUAGUUGUGUAGGGGUAAAAUCCGUAGAGAUAACUAGGAAUACCAAAAGCGAAGGCAAUCUUCUGGAACAUUACUGACGCUGAGGCGCGAAAGCGUGGGGAGCAAACAGGAUUAGAUACCCUGGUAGUCCACGCCCUAAACGAUGAAUGUUAGUCGUCGGGUAGCUAGUCUAUUCGGUGAUGCAGCUAACGCAUUAAACAUUCCGCCUGGGGAGUACGGUCGCAAGAUUAAAACUCAAAGGAAUAGACGGGGACCCGCACAAGUGGUGGAGCAUGUGGUUUAAUUCGAAAAUACGCGAAGAACCUUACCUAGCCUUGACAUAUAUUAGAACACUUUAGAGAUAGAGUGGUGCCUUCGGGAGCUUUUAUACAGGUGCUGCACGGCUGUCGUCAGCUCGUGUCGUGAGAUGUUGGGUUAAGUCCCGCAACGAGCCAACCCUCGUCACUAGUUACUAACGGUUCGGCCGAGGACUCUAGUGAGACUGCCUUCGUAAGGAGGAGGAAGGUGAGGACGACGUCAAGUCAUCAUGGCCCUUACGGCUAGGGCAACACACGUGCUACAAUGGCCAGGACAAUGAGAAGCGAUACCGCGAGGUGGAGCAAAUCUAUAAACCUGGUCUCAGUUCGGAUUGUAGUCUGCAACUCGACUACAUGAAGCUGGAAUCACUAUUAAUCGUAGAUCAGCUAUGCUACGGUGAAUACGUUCCCGGGUCUUGUAC